Molecule: transfer RNA, 73 nt
Filed under: Pteropus alecto (black flying fox)
Lineage: Eukaryota; Metazoa; Chordata; Mammalia; Chiroptera; Pteropodidae
Rfam family: tRNA
About the family: Transfer RNA (tRNA) molecules are approximately 80 nucleotides in length. Their secondary structure includes four short double-helical elements and three loops (D, anti-codon, and T loops). Further hydrogen bonds mediate the characteristic L-shaped molecular structure. tRNAs have two regions of fundamental functional importance: the anti-codon, which is responsible for specific mRNA codon recognition, and the 3' end, to which the tRNAs corresponding amino acid is attached (by aminoacyl-tRNA synthetases). tRNAs cope with the degeneracy of the genetic code in two manners: having more than one tRNA (with a specific anti-codon) for a particular amino acid; and 'wobble' base-pairing, i.e. permitting non-standard base-pairing at the 3rd anti-codon position.
Source: Rfam by way of RNAcentral
GGUUCCAUGGUGUAGUGGUUAGCAUGUCUGCUUUACACUCAAAAGGCCCUGGGUUCAUUUCCCUGUGGAUCCA